CUAAAAAAUGGAAAAUCUCUGACUGGCUAUAGGCUUAUCAUGAGCAACAGAGUCUGGAAGAUAUAUUGAGUCAAUCCAGAAUUCUGUAAUAAACUAAGCUUUUAUUAAAAAAAAAAAAAAAGACUAAACGUUUAUGUCAACUGGUUGGCAAGUUGCAUUUCCCGUUAGAAAAACCAUCUGAAAGCAUGGUCAAUGAUUUGUUUGGUAUAUAGAGCCCAAAUUUAAGAGAAUGGAUGGCUUGUAAGGGGAUAUUCUGUGAGCAUAAGACAAAAAUCUAGUGACUUUGCUUCUAGAACUCAUCUUUCUAGUAAUUUGGAUGAAUCAAAAUGCUGCAAACCAGCCGUUCUUACCUCCAUAGACAAUGAAGAUCAGAUCCUAACAUGGCUGCUUUCAUGCCUAAUGACUUUCUCUUUGAGCCUCUGACCUUUUGAUAUUGAAAUUAUGUUUCUAUGAGCAUUAAUCUAUUGACAUAUCUACAGAAAUUGGGGAUUUAGACAUAACAAUUCUGCUUUGGAUAUCAGACUAUCCAUAUGAGGUAGAUAAUCCUGCCAUGCCUGAAAGGUAGAAGGUCCUCAGGAAAUAUGAAAAAUUGAAUGAUAAAUAAAUUUACUAAUGAUUCAAAAUUAACUAAAAACCUUUGAAAAACUUUAUGAAAAAUGGAUUCAAAGUGGCUAUUCUUUGUUUCUAAUUCUUUUGAGGAGAAAGUAGUUUUAUAGAACUAGUAAUGAAUAACAGUUUAUAAAUCAGUUAUUGAAAUGCUUCACAUGCAAGGGAACCACUUAUUAAGGUGGGGGAAUAUCACAUUGUUCACUUAGAAUCUAAUUUGCAAGACUUUCUGUCCAGUAGUAACAUGGCAGGAAUAAAAAAUCUGCCAAGUCAAAUUGAGCACUUAACUCAAAGUUCUCUUUCUUCCAGUUAUAAAGGGAAAAGAAGCUCUUGGAAAGAAGAAAAAUAAAGAAGAUUAUGAAGGAUGCUUUGCUUCAUCCAGGCCACCAGGAAACUUUCGGGUGUUCAGGCAUGAAGCGAGCUGAAGUCAAAGAGAUGUAUGGUCUGGGAAGAGAAAGGCAACUUAGUGUGUAGGGUCAGAAGGAAGUUUCCAGUCUGGCCCUGUGUGGUGGUGCAAUGAUGACAGAACCAAUUUCCACAGCCAGCCAAAACUGUUCCCCCUUGCUUUAGGGGUGGGGUCAACUCAGAAUGUGCACAAUCGAUCCUGUGUAAUAGGGAAAACCUGUGUCAUGGAAAAACAUAAUCCUUCUGAGUAUCACAGAAGAAAAAAAAUCUGUAGUUUUUGUUAACAGCCAGGUAGUAAUAUUAUUUAACUGAAUCAUACUCAUGGAUAUUCCACUGAGCGACAUUGGAAAUAUGUGAAGGACGUUUAAUUUCAGAACUUGUGCAUGCUGAGGUCUCCUGCCACCAUAGAGCUCAAAACAGCAAGAGAAAGAAAAUAAAAAUAAAUCAUUUCACCAUGUUUCUUUAUACCCCCAUGAAACCAUAGUAUGAGACUUGUAUGGAAUGAGCAGUGAAGAAAUUACGGAUUUGAAAAGGGAAUUGGUACCUUCUGAACUGAUCUGUACCAAUCACUUCUUGAAAGAAGUCGUUUUCCGUCUGUUUUCUGAUUGUACCUCUACAGUUCUUCCAUCAAUGCAAAGACUUUCCAUUUGUCCUUUCCUUUCCACCCUAUGUACAUCAUUCGACCAGUCAGAAGAGAUGUGCAUUUAAAGCAUUUGUUUGUAAAUCAAAAUGUUUUAAUUCUUUUUUAAACUGGUGGGUGCCAGGGGGGAGGUUGGUGGCGGCAUCGGUGAAAUAGAGAAAGGGGAUUGAGAGGUACAAGCUUCCAGUUAUAAACUAAAUAAGUCACGAAGAUGAAAAGUGCAGCAUAGGGAAUAUAGUUAAUAAUAUUGUAAUAACGUUGUGUGGUGACAGAUGGUGACUGCACAUGCGGAGAGCAGUGAGUAAUGUAUAACAUUGUCGAAUGCUAUAAUGUAUAGCACUGUUGAAUCACCAUGUUGUAUACCUGAAACUAAUAUAACAUUGUAUGUGAAUUAUACUUCAAUGAAAAAUAUGUUUUAAUCACACUGAGAGAGUCUUUAUUACACUAUUAGGAAUAAUUUCACAGAUAAAACAUUUUUUAGAGAGUGAAUAAUUAAACUGUAGUACAUCUUUUACACAAAUAGGAAUUCAUGUACUAAAUGUGCAUAGUACAAAAGCCUCCACACAAAGUAGUAGAUUGUGGCACCCUUUACAUAUGGGGUAGGUAUUCUCAAUUUGGUCAGUUAGCUCAUGCUUGCCAAAAAGAUGGCCCAGAGAUCCUCAAAGAUUCCAAAGCUCUGAGACCCUUCACUAGACCUCAAAUGAUGCUCUCCCACGCCUUUGCUCACAUCCUGAUUUUCACCCCAAACAUGCUAUCCACCUGGCCUUAAGUCUACUCACACCCAAAAACAAAGGUGGCAAUAUAUAAGGAAUAAUAGCUUUGUUACUGAGUCUCGAGGAAGAUAUUUUCUCCCAAAGAAUAAGGGAAGAAAUUUCAAAGGGUAGGAAGGCAAGAUGGAAGAAGAAGAGGGCAACCUAGCUUAACUCAAUAAUGCUGAACCGUUAGUCUGUGAUUCGAUGUUAAUUUCAUGAGUGGGUACCUGUGUGUAAUAUUAAUUUGGAUUUCUUUUCUUGCAUUUACCCCCUUUAACAAAGAAAAAAAUGUACAUUCUCCAGGAGUCACUGACUGAUUGGGGAGUGAGAAAAGAAAAGGAUCAAGGAGGAUGUGGUGUUCCUGACUUGGACCACCAGGAGAUACUGCUAGUCUUCACUGAGACUCUGAGAUCUUUUGAAAGAAAGAUACUUGCACUGUUUUGCCCACCAUAGAUUUUAUAAAAUGGUGACAUAGAUUAUUCCUGACUAUUCUUCAUCACAAGAAGAACAACUAACAACUAUUCAAGAAUAAGACACCACUGAGAGAAUCCUAGAACAUGGUGAUGAGGUUGAAGCACCCUCUGCACCACAGAGAUGAAGACAGACUGUAUUAGAAACAUAAGAGAAGUGUCUACACACUGAUUGCAUUGCCUCUACCCUAGGCCAGUGUAGUACCACACGGCGAGAUCUCCCCUGGACCUCUAGUUCCUCCAGUAGGAAAAGAGAACCCAGUGGGGACAACCAGCCUCACUCCAGCAUUGUGGGUCAUUUUGCAAGAGCCCUACACUGAUCUCACACCACAGGGAUUUGCAGGGCUCAACAACUAAGAAUCUGACUGUGGUGAAGAAGGGGAGAAGGACUUGUAGCAACUACUAUAUGGGUCUUGGCAGACUGAGUUCACACCUGCAGUCCCUGAGUGGUAAUCCCAAUCAGUGCUUUUGCCCAUCUGCAGAACCAAGUCAGGGGGCACUCCCACCUGGAACUGGUAGGGUACAUACAGAUCUGCCUGAUUGGGAUCCUCGAAUUGGUGCAACCACCUUGGAAAACCACAUAAAGCUCAGUUUUGUCCCUGGUGUCCCCACAAGCUGGCAAGGAGCUGAAUCAUAGUCCCACCCACUGUGGAGAGUGUCUUCCAGCCCCAUAUGAAUAGAAGGACCAAUGAAAACUCCUGGUAACUGUGUGGCACAGCUCUGCUCAAGCUGAGAGGUGAUGGGUAAAGCCAAUUGCGUCCAGAGCAAAGCCAGUGCCAGGAGUGGAGUGUUCUGUGGUGUGCACAGGCAGGGGGAAUAAUUCAUAUCCAAGGGUAAAGGUAGUUCCUGGCCCCUCCCAACUAGAGAAACAGCCCGGGAAAUGGAGAGUAACCCGGAGUGUUCUCUCCUCCUCUUGCCCAGGCAGGAGAGCUGAGACGUAGCUCCAACCACUGUGGAGAGUGUCUUCCAGCCCCACUCCAUCAGAAAGGUUGGAGACAUCUCCUGGAAGCAGUGUAGCCCAGCAGCACUGGAACCAAGAGGUGGGUAGGCAAAGCUAAUACAUUGCAGAGCAAAGCCAGGACCCUCUUCAGUCAGAGCACUUGGAAUGUGGGUUGGCUUGAGUUAAGAAAACAACAAUGAACUUUACCAGCUUUAGAGUUACUUCGCUUGCUGUGCUGGACAGAAAAUCCAAUUCAUAUCCCCGUUCAUCACUGAACAUAACCUUCAGCCUGUCCAAUCAAGGAAUCUAACCAUAGCACAUGAGAAGCUGUAUCACCCAUGCAGUGGCAAUGGGACAGAGAGCACAGCCCAUGGUUUCCCCAUCUGCAGAGCAAAACCAGCAGCCUCAUCUGACUAGGGAAUUAAGGGCACACACUGGUCUGUUUAUGCCCCUAAACAAUGAGCUGUGCAGGUCCUGAACUCUGACUAGUUGCUCUCCUAGGGCAAGAAAGCCAAUUUAUAGCCCCAUCUAUAACUGAAUAUAAUGCCCAACCAUCUAAGCUUGACCAGAGAAUCCAGGCAACCAUUGAGUCCAUUCUACAGACUCCCGUGGGCAGGGAAUCUAGCCAGCAGUCCUAUCUAACUGUUAUCAGCCAGUGGCACAUCCCCCAUCCCCAUCCUCAGAGCUCAAAUAUUUGCCUCACCCCCAUACAGGCCAAAAUAGCAGCUCCCACAAGCCCAAGGACAUUACCAGCAGAAACACCCAGAAACCUAAACUGUGCUGCCUGAGGAAGAUUUCUCUGCAAAACGAACCUGUAAAGUCUGGAAGAGGGGCCCAGUUACCCAAAUACACUGGUACCAACAUACAGAAUCAAGGAUCACAAAAAAAUCAGGUAAAUAUGACAACCCCGGGGAAGACUUAUAAGCUUCUAUAAGUUACCCUAAAGAAAUGGAGAUCUACGAACUGUCACACACAGAAUUCAGGAUAACCCUUUUAAGGAAUUUUAGUGAACUACCAGAAGACACAGAAAACUAAACAAAAUUAAGAAAUAAUGCAUGAAAAAAAUGAGAAGUUUGACAAAGAAAUAACAACCAUCAAAAACAAACAAACAAAAUCACAGAAAUCCUGGAGUUGAAUAAUUCAACAACUGAACUAAAGAAUACAAUAGAGAAUUUCAAAAGUAGAAUCAGCUACUUGGAGUACAGGACAUUGGAAAUUAUCCAGAGGAGCAAAAAGAAAAAGAAAUUUUUAAAAACUGAGGAGAACUUAUAGGAAUUUUAGGAGAAAAUGAAAAAAAAAACAAUAUUUGCACUGUGGGAAUU
Molecule: long non-coding RNA, 5135 nt
Organism: Lutra lutra (Eurasian river otter)
Lineage: Eukaryota; Metazoa; Chordata; Mammalia; Carnivora; Mustelidae
Exons: 3
Source: RefSeq, a predicted model, not a curated record